GACGAACGCUGGCGGCGUGCCUAAUACAUGCAAGUAGAACGCUGAAGGAGGAGCUUGCUCUUCUGGAUGAGUUGCGAACGGGUGAGUAACGCGUAGGUAACCUGCCUGGUAGCGGGGGAUAACUAUUGGAAACGAUAGCUAAUACCGCAUAAGAGUAGAUGUUGCAUGACAUUUACUUAAAAGGUGCAAUUGCAUCACUACCAGAUGGAACUGCGUUGUAUUAGCUAGUUGGUGGGGUAACGGCUUACCAAGGGGACGAUACAUAGCCGACCUGGGAGGGGGAUCGGCCACACUGGGACUGAGACACGGCCCAGACUCCUACGGGAGGCAGCAGUAGGGAAUCUUCGGCAAUGGACGGAAGUCUGACCGAGCAACGCCGCGUGAGUGAAGAAGGUUUUCGGAUCGUAAAGCUCUGUUGUAAGAGAAGAACGAUUGUGAGAGUGGAAAGUUCACACUGUGACGGUAUCUUACCAGAAAGGGACGGCUAACUACGUG
This 495-nucleotide ribosomal RNA is filed under the name uncultured bacterium. RNAcentral describes it as "partial 16S ribosomal RNA". It matches the Rfam family "Bacterial small subunit ribosomal RNA", at positions 28 to 507 of the family's 1533-position model. The record is from RNAcentral.